This 459-nucleotide ribosomal RNA is filed under the name uncultured bacterium. Its description in RNAcentral is "partial 16S ribosomal RNA". It matches the Rfam family "Bacterial small subunit ribosomal RNA", at positions 338 to 795 of the family's 1533-position model. The record is from RNAcentral.
CCUACGGGGGGCAGCAGUGAGGAAUAUUGGUCAAUGGGCGGAAGCCUGAACCAGCCAAGUAGCGUGCGGGAUGAAGGCCCUACGGGUCGUAAACCGCUUUUGCACGGGGAUAACACCCUCCACGUGUGGCGGUCUGCAGGUACCGUGCGAAUAAGGACCGGCUAAUUCCGUGCCAGCAGCCGCGGUAAUACGGAGGGCCCGAGCGUUAUCCGGAUUCAUUGGGCUUAAAGGGAGCGUAGGCGGGCGUUCAAGUCAGCUGUAAAAUCGCGCGGCUCAACCGCGCCCCGCAGUUGAAACUGGAUGUCUUGAGUUGACAAAAGGCAGGCGGAAUGCGUGGUGUAGCGGUGAAAUGCAUAGAUAUCACGAGGAACCCCGAUUGCGAAGGCAGCCUGCCGGGGUGCGACUGACGCUGAGGCUCGAAGGUGCGGGUAUCAAACAGGAUUAGAUACCCUGGUAGUC